GCAAGAUUAAAACUCAAAGGAAUAGACGGGGACCCGCACAAGUGGUGGAGCAUGUGGUUUAAUUCGAAGAUACGCGAAGAACCUUACCUAGCCUUGACAUAUUUUAGAACUCACCAGAGAUGGAGAGGUGCCUUCGGGAGCUAAUUUACAGGUGCUGCACGGCUGUCGUCAGCUCGUGUCGUGAGAUGUUGGGUUAAGUCCCGCAACGAGCGCAACCCUCGUCACUAGUUACUAACGGUUCGGCCGAGGACUCUAGUGAGACUGCCUUCGUAAGGAGGAGGAAGGUGAGGACGACGUCAAGUCAUCAUGGCCCUUACGGCUAGGGCAACACACGUGCUACAAUGGUUGGGACAGUGAGACGCGAUACCGCGAGGUGGAGCAAAUCUAUAAACCCAAUCUCAGUUCGGAUUGUAGUCUGCAACUCGACUACAUGAAGCUGGAAUCACUAGUAAUCGUAGAUCAGCUAUGCUACGGUGAAUACGUUCCCGGGUCUUGUACUCACCGCCCGUCACACCAUGGGAGUUGAUUUCACCCGAAGCGGGGAAGCUAAACUGGCUACCCUCCACGGUGGAAUUAGCGACUGGGGUGAAGUCGUAACAAGGUA
RNAcentral lists this ribosomal RNA (604 nucleotides) under uncultured bacterium. RNAcentral describes it as "bacterial SSU rRNA". It matches the Rfam family "Bacterial small subunit ribosomal RNA", at positions 888 to 1498 of the family's 1533-position model. The record is from RNAcentral.